AUGUGGAUUAAUUCGAUGCAACGCGAAAAACCUUACCUACCCUUGACAUGUACGGAAGUCACGAGAGAUCGAGAUGUNCUCGAAAGAGAACCGUAACACAGGUGCUGCAUGGCUGUCGUCAGCUCGUGUCGUGAGAUGUUGGGUUAAGUCCCGCAACGAGCGCNACCCUUGUCAUUAGUUGCUACAUUUAGUUGAGCACUCUAAUGAGACUGCCGGUGACAAACCGGAGGAAGGUGGGGAUGACGUCAAGUCCUCAUGGCCCUUAUGGGUAGGGCUUCACACGUCAUACAAUGGUACAUACAGAGGGCCGCCAACCCGCGAGGGGGAGCUAAUCCCAGAAAGUGUAUCGUAGUCCGGAUCGCAGUCUGCAACUCGACUGCGUGAAGUUGGAAUCGCUAGUAAUCGCGGAUCAGCAUGUCGCGGUGAAUACGUUCCCGGGUCUUGUACACACCGCCCGUCACACCAUGGGAGCGGGUUUUACCAGAAGUAGGUAGCUUAACCGCAAGG
This 507-nucleotide ribosomal RNA is filed under the name uncultured bacterium. Its description in RNAcentral is "bacterial SSU rRNA". It matches the Rfam family "Bacterial small subunit ribosomal RNA", at positions 939 to 1446 of the family's 1533-position model. The record is from RNAcentral.